Molecule: long non-coding RNA, 372 nt
Filed under: Numida meleagris (helmeted guineafowl)
Lineage: Eukaryota; Metazoa; Chordata; Aves; Galliformes; Numididae
Description: lncRNA (ENSNMEG00000007514.1)
Source: RNAcentral
CUGGGCAAUUUCCACGGUGAAGUCACGAAUCCGCUCUGACUGAAGCCCAGUUCUGCAUCACUCCCAUCAGUCUGGGGCUUUAUAGCAGAUUUUGCUGCAAAUGUAAAAGUGGAGCAGAGAUCUGUGGGCUUUGCAUUCCGAGGGGCUGACUUUGGAAUAGAUGAGUGCAUGCUUGGUUGGCUUCAGGGAACCAAGCAAUAAUCUCAACCAGUCACCUCGCAAGAAAAAUUAGCAAGCAGAUGUUUCAUUACAAAAGGAACUAAUGGUAACUGAUGGCAUUAAAGGUAACUUUCCAUUACUUUUGGUGAUAUGAACCAAAACCGCUUUUAAAUAAUGACUGGCACCAGCAAAUAAAAACAGAAAUAUGUAUCA